This 245-nucleotide ribosomal RNA is filed under the name uncultured bacterium. Its description in RNAcentral is "partial 16S ribosomal RNA". It matches the Rfam family "Bacterial small subunit ribosomal RNA", at positions 524 to 768 of the family's 1533-position model. The record is from RNAcentral.
UACGUAGGGGGCAAGCGUUGUUCGGAAUUACUGGGCGUAAAGCGCGUGUAGGCGGUUCGAUAAGUCGGAAGUGAAAGCCCUCGGCUCAACCGGGGAACUGCUUUCGAUACUGUCGGACUUGAGUAUGGGAGGGGAGAGCAGAAUUCCCGGUGUAGCGGUGAAAUGCGUAGAUAUCGGGAGGAAUACCGGUGGCGAAGGCGGCUCUCUGGACCAUCACUGACGCUGAGACGCGAAAGCGUGGGGAU